GGGUCAGCGACUUAUAUUCUGUAGCAAGGUUAACCGAAUAGGGGAGCCGAAGGGAAACCGAGUCUUAACUGGGCGUUAAGUUGCAGGGUAUAGACCCGAAACCCGGUGAUCUAGCCAUGGGCAGGUUGAAGGUUGGGUAACACUAACUGGAGGACCGAACCGACUAAUGUUGAAAAAUUAGCGGAUGACUUGUGGCUGGGGGUGAAAGGCCAAUCAAACCGGGAGAUAGCUGGUUCUCCCCGAAAGCUAUUUAGGUAGCGCCUCGUGAAUUCAUCUCCGGGGGUAGAGCACUGUUUCGGCAAGGGGGUCAUCCCGACUUACCAACCCGAUGCAAACUGCGAAUACCGGAGAAUGUUAUCACGGGAGACACACGGCGGGUGCUAACGUCCGUCGUGAAGAGGGAAACAACCCAGACCGCCAGCUAAGGUCCCAAAGUCAUGGUUAAGUGGGAAACGAUGUGGGAAGGCCCAGACAGCCAGGAUGUUGGCUUAGAAGCAGCCAUCAUUUAAAGAAAGCGUAAUAGCUCACUGGUCGAGUCGGCCUGCGCGGAAGAUGUAACGGGGCUAAACCAUGCACCGAAGCUGCGGCAGCGACACUAUGUGUUGUUGGGUAGGGGAGCGUUCUGUAAGCCUGUGAAGGUGUACUGUGAGGUAUGCUGGAGGUAUCAGAAGUGCGAAUGCUGACAUAAGUAACGAUAAAGCGGGUGAAAAGCCCGCUCGCCGGAAGACCAAGGGUUCCUGUCCAACGUUAAUCGGGGCAGGGUGAGUCGACCCCUAAGGCGAGGCCGAAAGGCGUAGUCGAUGGGAAACAGGUUAAUAUUCCUGUACUUGGUGUUACUGCGAAGGGGGGACGGAGAAGGCUAUGUUGGCCGGGCGACGGUUGUCCCGGUUUAAGCGUGUAGGCUGGUUUUCCAG
RNAcentral lists this ribosomal RNA (914 nucleotides) under Escherichia coli. RNAcentral's name for it is "partial 23S ribosomal RNA". It matches the Rfam family "Bacterial large subunit ribosomal RNA", at positions 617 to 1536 of the family's 2925-position model. The record is from RNAcentral. Lineage: Bacteria; Pseudomonadati; Pseudomonadota; Gammaproteobacteria; Enterobacterales; Enterobacteriaceae.